Tympanuchus pallidicinctus (lesser prairie-chicken) is the source of this 1855-nucleotide long non-coding RNA. RefSeq lists it as uncharacterized. The record is from RefSeq and is a predicted model, not a curated record. The transcript has 4 exons. Lineage: Eukaryota; Metazoa; Chordata; Aves; Galliformes; Phasianidae.
AGGAGGAGAAUGAGAAAGAUUCUUCUAUCAGCCUUAACAGAGAAACUGAGAGAAUAUCAUCAAAGACUGCUGUUUUUUGAACGCCUCAAGUUAUCAUCUGUUUGUGAUAACAAAAAUCCAAUAUGUCAUAAACAUGUUGAAACCUUCUGGCCUUUACAGUUUUACCAGCCCAAGGAAAAGUGAGUCUGUAGUGUUUAAUACAUUCAGUCAUGGACUUGGAGACUGAGAACUACAACCAGCUCGGGAUCGUCAGGUACACGGCAUGGGACAGGAAGCCAGGAAGAGUCUUCUGAAAGAGCAGUCACCACUGAAAACUGAAAAGGGACAGCAUGUGAGCAGAAUCAUUACCUAAGUUCCCCUUCUUUAUUAGAAAAAUUAUGUCAUUACUUGUUUGCUUAGGCAACUUGUAUGUCACCACAUCCCAAAACUACUUAUGAGAGUGAGUAAGAGCCUUUACUUUAUGAUGUACUCCAUUUUUUUAAUUUAUUUUUCCUUUUUGUCUCUCCACCUCCUGACUGUUGCUAUGGAAGCUGCCACUUCAUUUCUGUUAUACUCCCUUAAACACCUGUUAAUCUUCUGACCUUUCCUGCAGGCUCGAUCCCUUAAUCACCCCCAGUGCUGAUAAAGUACAGAAAGAUGACAAUAUUCGUUGUUGCAAGGCCUGCAUGUUCCCACUCCCACGCUUUUAAUUAUUCUGUGCCAUUAUGUUGCUAUGAUGUUGUCACUUAACUUCCCAGAGAGAUGCCGUGCUGCCGUUAGAUUAGGACAGAUUUAAAGAAAUCUGUUUAAAGCUGAUUCUAAUUCCACAGAGAAUUUUCUGUCCCUCAAAUUUUCUUUAAAGGUAGUUUUAGCAGAAUUUCCAGAUAUUGUCAAAUAAUUAUGAGAAACAACUUUGUAUUCAUGAAAAAGGAGAAGUUUUAUUUCAAGUUUUGUAUUGUUCGGGCCUCAGACUAGCAGUCCUUCUUUAAAUCAACUUUGACUUGUUCACCUUAAUUAAAAAUAAUUUUUUUAAUGCUCAUCUGAAUGUAUAUUUCUCUACACAGCAGCAUAACUUAGCAGUAUUAGCUCUAGUGCACCUGGAACCAAUGUUAUCUUAAAACAAAUACUGAGCACUAACCUUUAUUUCCUCUCUCCAAUUCCAAUUCUUCAGGUAGCUAGUAGUAGAUAAAUUUAAUUUCUAGGUUACCAGUGAACCAGAUGGUAACACACAGAAAAUGAAGAGGAAAAACAUGCCUUCCUUGCACUUAUUUAAUUACGUUUUCCUUCUGCUCAUCAGAUAAGUUAUGUAUAACUUGUGAGAAAAACACAUUCCUGAAACAUGACGUUGCUUUUGAAAUGUUGGUAAAAUACCUAUAUAAGUUUUGAGAUGUAAAUUCCUAACUGUUAAAACGUGCUGUCAUGCAAUAUAACAACAUUUAAUACAUGCAACCAUGUAAUUAUGCAUAAUGACUAGUGAUCAUUGUGUAUGCUGAUAGCAGGGGUACAGGGAGGCUGUGGUAUGUUCAGCUGGUCCUCUGCACCUGCAGAAAGCAGAAAAAUCUUCUCACUGUGGAGGAAACAAGAUAAUGACAGUAUGAUAUUAAAUGCAAACAUUAAUUCUUUGGAGUAAAAUACAUGGAAGUAGUCCAUCAAUUGAGAUGUGUUAUUGUGAACUCUGAAAUUGUGUUGCCUGUCAUCUUAAAGAAAAUAAAGGACUAGUGGAAUGAAAUAAUUUAUUGUUUACCACAUACCUGUUAAAUCUAUUGUUUUUACUUUGGAGAAUAUUUAUAUUAGUAUUUAAGCUUCUAUCUGUGAUAAACUCUCUACGUACAUAAUAACUUCUACUUGGAUUCUGAAGUAAAUAAUGAAAUGAUCA